This 2498-nucleotide unclassified non-coding RNA is filed under the name Hevea brasiliensis (rubber tree). The record is from RNAcentral. Lineage: Eukaryota; Viridiplantae; Streptophyta; Magnoliopsida; Malpighiales; Euphorbiaceae.
UCUUUGGCGAAGGAAGAUAACUUAAGAAACUUUGUUGAGUUGCAGAAGUACAUUCAAAGUAUAAUUAAUCCAUUAAUUGGCAUCCCCAUUAUCAACAGUGUGAAGUAGUUAUGACUUAAUUAUUUAGCAGUAACAAAUUAAGCAUAUUAAACAAAUAUUAUUGUUUUGCAGCCUUUAAAUUCUUAUUGUUCUGUGGAAACAAGUGAAAUCUCAUUGAAGAGGAAAAGGGAAUCUCAGAAUUUAGGUAAUUGUUAGAACAGUACUGCCAAUACAGCCUCAGAAUCAAAAGAAACAAUCUUGAAGAAUAUGGAAGAAUCUUACAAUAAUCUCCGUAACAUGAACCCAAGGAAGGAACUACCAAAAUAUGUGAUGCAGAAUUGAGGAGAGCAACUGAGGAGUUCCUGAAAGAGUCCUAUGAUAAUCUCCUCAAUGGGGCUUCAGAAUCAUCCAAAGGCAUUAUAAUUCUUCCCUCUGAUCUCUAUUAGCAUGUUUGUUUAUAUUACAUUCCAAUAACUGUUAAUUUUCAUCCAAAGCAUCAAUUACUAGAUGAUCCCAUCACUUUUCAGGACCUUUGAGGAAGGACCUUGAUGAGUUACUGCUGCGUACCUGGAUUAUCAAGAGAUAACAUAUGGAUAAUUUCUUCUCCAUGCUUUCCUUUUUUCCCUUUGUUAUUUUAACUCUUUGAUGCAUUACAAUAUAAUAAAGAAGUGGAUCGAGCAGUGUGGAUUAAUAAAAGUGAAGGUGUGUAACUGAAUCAGUAAAAGUUUGUGCCUUUUAAUAACUUAAUUCACAAAUAAUUAGUCAAAUGGUUCAUCGAAUGCAUGUCCAAGACAAGACAUUAUUCAGACCACUCUACCUUACCUUCUCAACAGUGAAUCAUUGAUGUAUAUAGUCGAGCAUCUUGGAUCUUCAGCAAAGGAUUUGCAAGAUAUUGGCAUUAAUCCCAAGAUCAGCACCAAUUUGAUGGUACUCCUUCAGAGCCGCUUCCAUCUCCGCUUCAACAGUGGCAUCAUCUAUGACAUCUAUCAUGUUCAUGCGAACAAUGUUGGCAUAGUGCUCCUCCCUGUCCAGAUCAUGCUGGAAGGGUUCCAUUGCUGAGCCCUGACAUAAUUCGGCAUAAUGUUUGUAAAUUUCGCUGUCUUCAUUUUGAUCUCCAAGUAAUGUACCGCCAUACCAACCACUGGCUUCAUCAACUGAGGUCAUUGCAAGGUACCUUUGGAAGAUAUCUUGUUCAUUCAUGUCAACAACGGAAGAAAGCCAAUCCAAGUCACGGUAACCAUCAACUCUAAUAUCUUUGUGAGAUCCUCCAUUUUCAGCUUCUCGUUGAGCAGCCUUGGCGGCAGAACCACUUUCUUCAUACUUUCUCUGGCCAAAAAGCCAAUUUGGGCUUUUGAGCUGUAUUUCACUGCAUAAUUUAAUGGUUCAUGUUGGCAUUUGGCAAUUAGAAAAGUUACCAAGUACUACUUAGAAACAUUAUUACAAUUGAGCAAAUCUUUCUGCACAGGCAAGACCAAAUGCUUGCAAUAAAAAAAAUUAUGACAAUAAGAAAAGAGCAAAUUCUGAAGAGAAGCCAAAUUCCUGGGAAAAAAAAAAUAAGGACAUUUAAUUUGCAAGUUCUAUUCUUAAAUUUAAUUAAGUUUCCCAAUAGUAUAUAUGUCAACAGAUACAUGAUAAUAGGAAGGCAUCCAAUGACUAAAUAGCCCAAUAGAAGAGGUGGCUCCAAAAAGAAUCCGACACAACCCUUAAUGUCUUCAAGGAUGAAAACCUGAAAGAGUAAUUGAUGACAUAUUUCUUGACCCAAGCUUGGUCUAAAAAUCAAAUGUUAUCAGGUUCCUUCAUUUCAUAUGUAUUUCAAAACUGUUAUUGCCUUUCAAUACAUCCAAAUAUUCCCUUUUCCUUACCCGAUUUCAUAUCAGUCAAUUUCCUUCCCAUACCAUACCUACCAACAGGUAACAUGGAAAAGAAAGCAAACCAACAAACUUUGAGGAUGCGUGCUAUCAUCUUUAGAAUUUAGACCAAAUAGAAAAUAACCAACAACAACAAUAAAGAUUCUGAUUUGUAAGCUACAUUCAAAUAAUCAAAAAAAAGAAAGAAAAAUAUGCAGAGCAGCUAACUGGGAGGUAUAUCAAGAACAACUUGUUUAAGGAAUUGAAAACAGUAACAUGUUAGCAACUGUGUCUAAACAGGGAAGCACAUUUGAGAGAGCUUUGACAAAAUUCAGGAAACAAAAGCCAGGUUAGGAGGAAACAUUACGCUGCAUCAGGUGCAACACCAGAAUUUCCCAGCCCACCAGCUGGUCUUUGAUCAGGCUCACAACAAAGUCUUACAUUCUUUAUGGCACCACAUGUCCUCUCGAUCAAUUUAUCAAAAGAUGUCAACUUCAUGCGUGAAAAAUCUUCCCUGCAAGCUGGUACAGGAGCAAGAAUCAUUCCAACUCCUUCGGGCUUAGCACUGGUUGGAGUGCUCAGCUCAGGAUCAAGGUCUUCUUUAAUCCCAAC